CGCUACAUCACUGUGCCUACCUGCUGCUAUUGCUCUGCAGCAUCAUUUGCCUUGUCUUGCUGGUCCCAGCAAGGACCCACAAAGAUCCCACGCUACUCUGAGACAGAACCAGAUAUGAAGUGAAUUUGCAUGACCAUUUUCUAAUCCAAACAGGUAUCCUGACUGCAGCAAGCCAGAUGUGCAGCCAGAAGUGGCUGGCUGCCCUACUACAAAAUGAUCCUGUAUACCUGAACUAUCAAUAUGCCAAGGCCUUCUGAGUUUGCUUUCCUCUGCUCUACAUCUUUUAUUCCGAAGCUCAGAUGAUGUGUUAAACACUUCCUGUCUUCAAAAAAAAACCCCAACCUCUGAGCUAAAAUCCACAACGUUAUGAUCAUAUAGAGAUCCAAGUUACACUUCCAAAUCCAGUGAACCUGAGUCAAACCAAAACGUGCCUGAGGGUGCACAGUAAGUUCUGAACAAUGAGAACUAGGGCUGACACUGUUGCAAUCUCCACCUAGCCCACGCUGUUAAAUUGAAUGCAACUCAUUUGCCUAGAAAUAUGCCUGAGACAUAUCACUUGGGUGCAUCUCUGUGACUCUCUCUCUUCAUCCUUGUUCUGGAAAGACCAGCACGGUGAAAUCUUCAAGCAGGCUCUGCCCGGCUCUUCAUCACCAGGUUGUGUCCCCUGUUCUUGGAUGGUGGGUUUCACCAAAGCCUCUCUGGGGCCACCAUAAGAAAAACAGAUGCAGCGCGGAGCGGGAGCCGUUUCUCACGGAGCAGCUCCAGUCCCCGUACCCGCAGCCAGCAGGGGCUGGGCAGCACGGCCCCCUGCCCUCCCUGCUCCCCUGCCCCAGCCGCCCCGCACCGUUAAGUGACCGUCUCUGGCGCACUGAGCUGCUAAAUAAAAGUAUCCCGACCGCAGCCGUUAGCAAGCGUUACAGGGAUCUUAACAAAGCUGAGCCUCCGAAUGGAAUGUGCUGGCUUUUUUUUUUUCUUUUCUUUUUUUUUUUUUUCCAGGGGGUUUUGCGCUCUUCCAUGGGGAAAACGCGUCCGAAAUUCUGUUACAAUGCUGUUGGUUACGGUAACGUUAACUGAAAGCGAGCUGCGGUUUUUAACCUAGAGCACGUUGCAUAACAACAGCGGGGCUGCACGCGGACGGGGCACCGCAGCCCGCGGGCGCACAGACGGACCGCGGCUCC
This 1178-nucleotide long non-coding RNA is filed under the name Chrysolophus pictus (golden pheasant). Its description in RNAcentral is "lncRNA (ENSCPIG00010001035.1)". Lineage: Eukaryota; Metazoa; Chordata; Aves; Galliformes; Phasianidae. The record is from RNAcentral.